UUUAUGCAAAAACGCUGAUAAACUCGAUUAAUUUGAGUUGUCCUAACUUAGAAAAACUAAGUAAGCUGGAAGUUUUGCUUCUCUGGGCGGAAGGAUGAAAGAUGUGUUUUGAAAAUGCCACGUGACUACCGUCCUCCUCCCUCGCGGAUCAGUCCGCAUGUUCACGGUGCCAGCAUUUGUUAUGGAAUAUGUUGAGCAAACCCGGAGAAGCGUCAGCUCAAGAGACUAUUGUUGUCAUUACUUUGGAUCUUUACCUGAUACACUGACUUGGCUCGGGACCAGCACUCCUGUUGUUGGACAGAAAGACAUCAACUCAGUGACUUGAGAUAUGACUGCACUAUGCUGUUGCUGUGACUCCAGUUAAUUCUACAAGACAUGCUGUGUAAGUAAACAAACAACAACAGUUUGGUCUGCAUUUCUUCAAACUUAGUUUAGAGGGUCUACACUGUAUAUAGUGAAGUCUGCAAGUUUUCUAACAGCAAAAUUUGUUUUGUGCCCAAAUCAUUUUGCACAUCAUUAGAAUGAAAGUUAUUGCCCAUGUUUGCAUAGCCCUUUUUAAAAUGAUGCUUUCAUGACAUUAUUGUGUGUUGGGUGGUGGUCAGGGCUAUCCAGACUGACAAUUGGGACAUUGAAUGUCACCUCUCCGGUGGGGAGGGAGCCUGAGAUCGUCUAAAUUUGAGUCUGUUUUAUACCAAAUGCAGAAAAAAAAUGUUUUAAGAAAGCAAUUAAGUUCAUGUUCCAAAAAUAUGAUUGUUUGCUUGCAGGACAACAGGAGAGAUGAGUCCUCCGUCACAGAUGGUGUGGUCAGUGAAGAUGGUCGCCUGCAGGUUCAAGCUCAUUGCAUCUCCAACCCACAUCCACUGCCACUGUACUUAAGGGAAGUUAAAGACUUUCUUCUGCACUUACAUUUGGAUCACCUCGAUCCAUGACAGUCAUUCAGGCAGUAAUGCCUGGACUGGAAACAAGCCAUCCUUAAAAUAUUACAACAUUCCAGCUCCUGUGUUGGAAUGAAAAACAAAUGUGUUGUUUAAAUUAGAGACUGCACUUGUGACAGAACAACAAAUAUUUUAUUUUGAUUAUAUAAGUGAGUACAAAAACUUGUGGUAGGCCUAAACUUAUUUUCAGAAUAAUUACAUCUGAGACUUUGUUUCAUUGUAAGAUUAUAACAGCGAUGGCAACAUAAUUGUUUGUUGUUCAGCAGAACAGUGUCCAGUAUGUUGGCUGUUGUACUUUGUUGUGUUUGAAAAUAAAAGUUGGGCUCAUUUUAACAUCAUUACAAAAAUUGUUGUUAAUUAUUUUUAAUCAUAUUCAGGUUACCACAAAUUGUUUUUUCAUUUAGUUGAACUUGAAAUGUUUGUCAG
Pelmatolapia mariae (spotted tilapia) is the source of this 1361-nucleotide long non-coding RNA. RefSeq lists it as uncharacterized. NCBI's taxonomy places the organism in Eukaryota, Metazoa, Chordata, Actinopteri, Cichliformes, Cichlidae. The record is from RefSeq and is a predicted model, not a curated record. The transcript is spliced from 3 exons.